This is a long non-coding RNA of Aptenodytes forsteri (emperor penguin), 6251 nucleotides long. RefSeq lists it as uncharacterized. NCBI's taxonomy places the organism in Eukaryota, Metazoa, Chordata, Aves, Sphenisciformes, Spheniscidae. The transcript is spliced from 2 exons. The record is from RefSeq and is a predicted model, not a curated record.
CAAUCAAUCAGACAAGCUUGUCGACAGAAGAAUGAAACAUGAAGCAGAAGAAAAUCUCAGAGAUCUGGCAAAUUCUUAAAUAUUUAUUUCAUGUCCUUUCUUUGUUACAGAUUGUACGGAAAAUAUUCCCCAAAAUGUUUUUACCCAUCUGUUGGAAACACACACAUUUUCACUUAAAUACUGCAUUUAAUAAGAUGUAGCCCUGUAAUAGCCUUGCUAAUUUUCACAACCACCAGAAUCCAAUCACAAAAUGCAAAGAAAUCAUAACACCAAGGACAGAAUUGGAAUCCUCAAGGCUCAUGUGCUACGUGGUGUUACACAGAGGCUUCAGCGUACAGCAGUAGCUCAUUACCUCUUAUUUCAACAAUCUGAACUUCAGGCUAUUUUAGAAGAAGUUGGCAGCAUUUCCACUUCCCAACAAAGACUCUGGAGUACACUUUUCUGAAGUCAGCAAAGUGUUCCUGAUUUUUCCAAAGGUGAUAGUAACUCAUUACAAACCAAGUCCAAGCACCACUUGUCAAACUGAUUACUCAGCCUGGUGUAGCCAGAAAGACACCAGAUUUCAACUUGAGGAGUCAGAUACUAUUCUCCCAUCAUAAUCACAGCUGGGCAAAUCAACCAUUUAAUCCUUCUCUGCUUUUUGGUGAUAUUCAUACAGACUGCUGAUUCUUUAGGGAGGAAGCUGCACCUGAGCAUAUGCCCUUACAACCUGAAGUACAAGUAGUCAUUCCUGUAAUACAUAUAAAAGCAAAAAAUCUGGAUUUUUUUGUUUGGUUUUGGUUUAUUUGGGGUUUUUUGGGCAUUUCCUCACAGACUCCGAUCUGCUGCUCAGCUCAUUGUGGCAGACCUGUCCAAGUAUGUAGCCACGAAACAGGACUUUAAAUUAAUAGUUUAUACAGAACAUUAAUCUGUCCUAUCUCAUCAGGAAUCAGGACAAGGAAGACUUUUGUAUACUCCAUUGUUGGUUAACGUAAUUGGUAUUAGUGCCUAAUGGUACAUUUCUUGCUUUAAAACCCAGGUAGACUUAUUUGGUAUGAAGGAACAAGGAAUCAAAUUUAUUUUUUACCCUGUCACCUUAAACUUUAUUAAUGCAACAACUGUCGGAAGAGAGACUGGAAGGUCUGAAGUUUGAAGAUGAAGUCUGGAAAGCAAACACUACUUUCUGCUACUAUUAAGAAAGCAAAAGAUUCCAGUGUAACCAACCACAACUGAACUCAGCAACCACUUGAAUAGGAAGCAAGGAGGGAAAAAAAAAGAAAAAAAAAGGAAUUCCCUUAGUUUCUAUGUUGUACUUGCUUCAGUUUAUAAAGCCAGACAUUAGAGUGGAAUAUUCCUACAAAAUAGAGCCUGAAGAAACAGAGCUGUUGGAAGGAGCUUUCAGAAACAAAGAGCCUGGAGCAGAAAUUUUUAGAAAACUAAAAAGAGCCUUUAAAUGACACUUUUAGAGGCUGAGCUGCUUGCAGCUAAUGACAGGAGAGGGAAGGCAGAGGAGAAUACAAUGUUUUGAACCUGAUGGAAAACAGAAAGGGCACAGUGAAAAGGAAGACUGAAAUUCAGAGAGAGGGAAUUGGCACAUGGUGACAGAUGUCGAGAGAGAUCUGAUACAAACAGUUCAUGUGAAGUAGUACAAAGGAACAGUCAGAUGCAUAAAACCCACACAACUUCACUGCUGCAAUCAGGCUGAACUGCAUACUUGAGAUGUGACAACAGUGAAAAAUACAAUUUCACCUUUUAUUCCAAAAGUUGUAUUUUCCCUAAGCCUAACCAGCAAAGCAGAUAAGGUCAGAUCAAUCACUAAUGCAAUUCCAGGUCAUUUGGCAGACUGGUACCUGCCAAUAUUAAAUGAAAACUAGAUUCAAACUUAGGAUGUGUUCCUGAGAGGCUAGUUUCCUGCUCUCUCAAGGAUAAUCAAUAACAAAGGAUUUUGCAGGGUAAUUUUGUCCUCUGACUAACACAACCCUUAGAAAUACACCUUAAGGAAGUUACUAAAGCAUCAUGCAAAGGCAGCAGUGAUACAACGCAGUUCAGGACACCAUUGGCUCUGUAAGAUCCGAGAAAGAAAAAUAUAGUGUGAUUGACAGCUGCUACAAAAGAAAAGCUACAGAGUGAAUCUUACCUGGGGAGAAGUGAGAGUCAACAAAUAUGCAGCCCUAUGCUUUUAUUAAGGCCCUUCUUGCUAUUCCUAGAAAAGCACUAAUUUACUGAAAGAAAAAAAAAAACAAACAAAAAACCUACUGGCAGUAGAGUGGCACAGCCUCUUUGGCUUACAGUUGCCAUCAGAUGGGACAUAGCUGGAGGAGAGAAAAGAGGAUGUAUAUUUAAUGCCCCAAAUUCUUAUAGUUUCUAAUACUGACAGUAGAGCAAUCUCAAGCUGUCUAGACAUCACAGCACCUAAACACAACUUUGAAAGCUUCAUGCACUUAGUCUUCUCUCUACUUCUUCCUCUGUUCUAACACUGCUUAGUAAGGUUUCAUGGGAGGAAAAUCUAAGGGCGGAAAAGGGUACAGGAGACCUGGCAGUUCCCAAAUAAAUGACAUCAAGAUAAUAAGCUUAAAUUAUGCCAAUGGAAAGAAAGGAUAGCAAGUGUAAAAAGGGACCAACCUGACCAACAAAGAGUUCUUCAACAAUCUCAGAAGAAAAAAGCACAUAAGUAAUGGAAACAAGGACAGAUUAUUUAAGAAUUAUUAAGUAGGAGCAACAAGAGAACACAAGGACCAUUAUCAGAACCAAAAGAGGAAAACAAAAUAAGUGGCAGUUGACCUGAAUAAGAAGAGAUUGCUCUGUAAGUGCACCUGCAUUAAAAGAAAAAAAAGGGACCUUAGUUACGCAAGAUGGAAAAAAAACAACUGACAGCUGAUGACAUUAGAAAUUAACUGUUCGAUAGCUGUUUUCACUUCAGUAUUCCCUAGUAAUGGCAACUACAAGCAACUGUAUUCACAUCAUCGACAAAGAAAGAUCUCUGCCUAGCAAAAGAAAAGAAUGCGUUAGAACAUAAGUUUCCUGAAGUUCAAUGUUCACAGGUUCUCUGGGCCCCAAAGACUUCUCUAUAAGAUAUGUUAAAAAUUGGUACGUUAAUCUUAUAUUAAUAUGAUAUGUUAAAAAAGUAGCCUCAAAAACAGUAGUAGUAGUUAUAUUUGAGAAUUGGCAAGCUGAAAUGCCUAUUUUUAAACAGAAAGACAGGGAAGAAGAGAAGCAGUAAAAGCUUCUUGACCAGAGCGAAGACCAUUAAUUUUUAAUUUUAAAAAAUAUUUUGGAACAUGUACUCAAACUAUACUCAUUUAUGCUUUCCACAGUAACUAACACAAGUCGGCCAAGAACAAGUUAUGUUAAAAUCCUUUCUUCCACCGUAGUGUAAUAAAAAAGCAGUAGAUGAAGUAUCUUUAUCCUGACAUCUGACCAUCACAGGGCAUUCUUAUAAGCAAGACAAACACAGCUCAGAUGAAACUAUUACUGUAUGAAUGCAGACCUAGCUAGAGCUAUCAGAAAGGAACAAAAUAAAAUCACAGUCUACUGUCAAAACACAAAGCUGUAAGGAUGUUCUGCAGAAGUAUGUGCUAGGAUCAGUUCCAUCGAUAUUCUAACAACCUAGAUGAAAUCAAUAGAUAAUAUGGAGUUUGAGUGUCUCCCAGAUCUACUGGAGGACAAUAUUCAAUUUAAAAAAUGAUCUUGACAAGUUCAAAAGUUGUCUAGAAAAAUAAAACAUUUAAUACUGAUUAAGUAAAGGAAUCAUUAAAAACUGAAGUCUGAAUCAGUCACUGCAGCAAACAUGACCUCAGAUUUUUGACACCUUGAAUGCCAUAACAUAGCUAAGGGCUAUAAAGUAUUCCACACUGUUUAAUUGCCUCACAAUAUUUACCUUAGACUUUUUUUCCCUGACACAAUAGGGAUAGAACCAUUGAGAGGGUGUUGGAUUUGAAAAAAAGAAAAAAAAAAUCCCCCUUUUCUGCCCAAAAAGAAUUCUUGACUUACUUCAGAUCUAUGAAUCUUCUCCAUGUUUCAUUAAACUCUUCAAUUCAGAGAUUCGGCAAUCUUUAACAAUUUAGAGGGGAAAACCACCGCCAUCUCCUGGAGCAAGUGAAGCUAGCAGUUCCCUGAAUGCCUGUGCUCUGCUCUCCAUCUUGCAGUUUUCUAAGCACUGAAAAGUAACCUCAGCGACUUAGCAAGUCACCAUCAGAUGUCGCAUUUAGAAAUACAAGCAAAAGGCUACAGUAGCGUACCACUUGCAAGAUGUAUCUUGACAGCCUAAGUUCAGUAGCAACAUGCAUUAGGUGCACCCAUCCACCGCACCAAAUUCACAUGCUUGAACAGCUUCCCUUCAACCAGCCCUCCUGACCACGUACAAAUCCUGAACAGAAGUCUCCAUAAAAGCAGCAGUGGGACCAGAAACCAAAUAUACAUCUUAUUCUCAUUAAAAGCAUAGCAGACUCGAAGUGGAGUUCUACGUGACUCCUGGCCUACAGUUUUCAAAUCUUUGUGCUAUUGUCUUGCUUUUACUACUGUCAAGGAUCCAUAUUACAAUCACCUGUUUUCAUCCAACAGCCUUCAAAAAGCAGCUUCUGAGAACGUACCAAAUGCUCUAUCAGUAUAACCUAGUCAGGCAUACACCUCUGCUCUACACUGAACAACUUAUAACAGUGCAUAAGAAGUUACGCUGCAUCUACAAAGGUGUAUAAAAUUACUUCAGUAACUACUCCCCCCGCCCCACCCCAGCUUCUCUUAGUUACAGCAGUAUCCCUGAUAGGUUAUCAGAAGUGCUUUACAACAAGGGGAAGAAAAGUUAUCACGUAACUUGGGACACACCUAGUAAUAACAGUUCAUAUCUUAGGUAAGCUGCAAGCAGUGUUAAAGGCUUUUCUAUUUCCCCAGUAACACUGGCUCUUCUCCUAGCGCUCAGUUCCAGGGCUAAUUGGAAGCUACCUCAGGGAUCUAGUGCUCCAUUCAUGUCAGUUGCUACCCAGCCCAAGGAAGUAGCUCAGUUACUUUUUUCUUUUAACCGGAUUAUAUCUGAACUAGGACAUUACACAGCUGCAAAUGUUUUAAAAUUAGUUUUCUAAUAUUGACUACAUAGAAGAUAACACUCAUACCUUUUCCUAUUAAUCCAUCUUGGAAGUUUGAAGUCUUUCUGAACACUAUAGCUGUUUAAUCAUUCCUCUGAAAAAGAGCACAACUACCAAAACAAAAACAUUAAUGUCAGAAGGCUUCCAUAGUCAGAGAAGCAUCAGUAAAGCACAAGGGCUGAAUCAGGAUGAAAGCAAACUGACAGAAUAUCAGUAUCAGCAGGAUGAAAGAUAUAGCGGUCAAGCCUAGAGACACAGGCAAAUUUUAUACGCCACUACUCGGAUACUACAGUUAAAUCUUACAGUAUACUUGACAAGUGCUGUUAUUUCCUUCUUCUGGUCAUAUGAAGAGUAUGAAUAGUUUAUUAUGCCUAACGCUGUUUCUUAUCUCAUCUAAGAAUUUCAGGUGAUUUCAUGCCUUUGUCUUCUUCAUACUGGAAGGGUAUUCUGCUUAGCUUCCUGAGGCUUCUUAAGGGCUUUACCUGGUUAGGAACAACUGACGCAAAAGAUAAAUUUCCUCAGAUUAUUUUAAAAGUACUCUCCAAAGAAGACAAAAAGUGUCUUUCCCUACACUUUUAGUUUAAUCCUACAGUAUUUGGCUUCCUUCUAUUCUGCAAUUACAGUUCAGGUUCACAGGAAUAUAUCAGCUGUCAAUGCUAAAACUCAGCUUUUGGGUAAACUCAAAUAAAAGAAUUCUGGAAUUUUUUGGCCAUCAUACCUCAGGUUCGCUUUGCACAUUACAUGUUCUGAUGUGCUGUAUCCUUAGAGAAGAAUGAUGUAGGCACCUUAAUAAAAAAAAAUUCCUUAAAAAUUUAGUAUCUUCAAUUCAACAUUCAGUUUAUUUUCUAAAAUAAAAACCAUGCACAUUUGUAAUAUACAUCAUUUGAUUCUUACCAAAGACAUGUUUAUAAAUACUUUUUUUUCCUUUUUAUAAAGAUCUCUAUCUACAGUCCAAAUCCUGAAUGCCAAUCUGCCCAAUUGUUUUUUAGGCAAACAGAUUCCACUGAAGACAAUGUAGAUCUGUAUUGUUUCAGGUACUAGAAAGCAAAUGUACCUGCAGAACUAGAUAAUUAUCUCUUCAGGCACUUGCCAUUUGGCUAAACCAAGUUUAAGAGUUUCAUCACUUAUACAAAAGCAACAAAAUUCCAGUCUUUAUAGGCUUCUUCAGCUGAUUUCCACAUGAAAGUAGUGCGG